Molecule: ribosomal RNA, 446 nt
Filed under: uncultured bacterium
Lineage: Bacteria
Description: bacterial SSU rRNA
Rfam family: Bacterial small subunit ribosomal RNA
Source: RNAcentral
GUCCAGACUCCUACGGGAGGCAGCAGUGGGGAAUAUUGCACAAUGGGGGAAACCCUGAUGCAGCGACGCCGCGUGAGCGAUGAAGUAUUUCGGUAUGUAAAGCUCUAUCAGCAGGGAAGAAAGUGACGGUACCUGACUAAGAAGCCCCGGCUAACUACGUGCCAGCAGCCGCGGUAAUACGUAGGGGGCAAGCGUUAUCCGGAUUUACUGGGUGUAAAGGGAGCGUAGACGGUCCUGCAAGCCAGAUGUGAAAGCCCGGGGCUCAACCCCGGGACUGCAUUUGAAACUGUCAGGCUGGAGUGCAGGAGAGGUAAGUGGAAUUCCUAGUGUAGCGGUGAAAUGCGUAGAUAUUAGGAGGAACACCAGUGGCGAAGGCGGCUUACUGGACUGUAACUGACGUUGAGGCUCAAAAGCGUGGGGAGCAAACAGGAUUAGAUACCCCAGUA